This 217-nucleotide ribosomal RNA is filed under the name uncultured bacterium. Its description in RNAcentral is "partial 16S ribosomal RNA". It matches the Rfam family "Bacterial small subunit ribosomal RNA", at positions 1284 to 1500 of the family's 1533-position model. The record is from RNAcentral.
CGUCCCAGUUCGGAUUGUAGUCUGCAACCCGACUACAUGAAGCUGGAAUCGCUAGUAAUCGCAGAUCAGAAUGCUGCGGUGAAUACGUUCCCGGGUCUUGUACACACCGCCCGUCACACCAUGGGAGUUGGAAAUGCCCGAAGUCGGUGACCUAACCGAAAGGGAGGAGCCGCCGAAGGCAGGUCUGAUAACUGGGGUGAAGUCGUAACAAGGUACC